UGGCGGCAGGCCUAACACAUGCAAGUCGAACGGAGUAGCAAUACUUAGUGGCAUACGGGUGAGUAACAUGUAGGUAUCUGCCCUUUGGCCUGGAAUAACACGAGGAAACUUGUGCUAAUACCGGAUAAGUCUUUACGGAGAAAGCUUAGUGCACCAUUGGAUGAGCCUGCACUUGAUUAGUUUGUUGGUGGGGUAAUGGCCUACCAAGACUUUGAUCAAUAGCUGAUUUGAGAGGAUGAUCAGCCACAUUGGGACUGAGACACGGCCC
This 268-nucleotide ribosomal RNA is filed under the name uncultured Alphaproteobacteria bacterium. Its description in RNAcentral is "partial 16S ribosomal RNA". It matches the Rfam family "Bacterial small subunit ribosomal RNA", at positions 37 to 332 of the family's 1533-position model. The record is from RNAcentral. Lineage: Bacteria; Pseudomonadati; Pseudomonadota; Alphaproteobacteria.